This 1186-nucleotide long non-coding RNA is filed under the name Sus scrofa (pig). RNAcentral's name for it is "lncRNA (ENSSSCG00070004785.1)". The record is from RNAcentral. Lineage: Eukaryota; Metazoa; Chordata; Mammalia; Artiodactyla; Suidae.
CAGCUGAAGGAGGAAAGGUGGAAGGGGCUGCAGGGUGGCCUGGGUCCUGGACCACUCCUUCUGACCUGACCCCAGCACUGGCCACUCAAUCCUGCUCCCAGUCAGUUCUCUGGCCUCGAGCACUGCACAGUGGCAUAGUGCAUGGUACAGUGCUCCCUAUGCCUUCAUUACUUCAAAGCAAACCCACUCUAUAGCUUAUCUGACUCUCCAAACACUAUCAAAAGGCAAACAGAACUGGACUGAUACCCCCAGAGAGGUUAAGCAAACUGCCCAAGGUUGCACAGCAUGUUAAACGCAAAGCCUGGAAUAGAAACUAGGCUGAGAUUUCAGGUGUUAUUUGGAAUCACCAGGAAACCAUGUGUGGAAAGGCUUUCCUGAGACUGGAGGCAGAAGAUUAAGAGAGCUUCGUCCCCUUCCAGAAAUCCUUUCUUCUGCAAGUACACAGGCUCUGUCUGGCUUCAAACCCAAAGAAAUUCCAUUGCUGCUCACUGGCUCUCAGACUCGGGAAGCAGCCUGUUCCCUGUGGCUUCUUCCCUGGAGGAUGCAUUCAAUAAACAGAGCCCCUUUCUCAUCUUCCUGCAUAAAUAUUUCAGGAGAUGAAGAAACAAACAGAUCUGUGUUUGAUCUGCUGGCUACUCAGAAAUGGGGGCUCCUCUACACCAGCAGGACGGUCCCCUGCUCCCCCAGCACUACAGUGUCCACCAGUUUUUGGUGGGAAAUAUAAGAUGGCAGGGAGAGCCACCUUCCUCAUCUGGGUUGGGGAACCUGGUGAGAACUGGAGAGUAGAGCCCAGUUUUCAGCAGAAGCACCCUUCCCCCCACCACUUGCCAUUCCUAGAAAUGGAAGAACAUGGUCUGUUCAGAGGCUGUUGUUCUUGGGGCCACUUCAAUCGCUACUGCCCAAGACCACACUGCAGGGGACACAGGGUUCCACACAGACAGGCACCGCCUACAGGGAAGCGGGUGCAGAGCCUCCCAGGACAGGUUCUGCACCUUUGCGCUCCCAAGACUAUGCACGCACCUGUGACUCCCUCACAGCGGCAUGCCUAGGGCUCACACAAAUACCUGUAGAGUAAAUGAAUAUAUGAAUGGACGGGGAGGGAUGGUGCUUGACCCAGAAAGCUGAGAAGGAUCUUUUUUUCCAUUAAGAAAAUAAAAUAGAAAUAUAUUAAAUACUAAUAUUUUAU